This is a non-coding RNA of Viridothelium virens, 73 nucleotides long. Lineage: Eukaryota; Fungi; Ascomycota; Dothideomycetes; Trypetheliales; Trypetheliaceae. The record is from the annotation of a GenBank genome assembly.
GGCCCAUUAGUCAAGUGGUUAAGACAUAACUUUUUCAUCGUUACAUACCUGGGUUCGAACCCCAGAUGGGUCA